This 350-nucleotide ribosomal RNA is filed under the name uncultured bacterium. Its description in RNAcentral is "bacterial SSU rRNA". It matches the Rfam family "Bacterial small subunit ribosomal RNA", at positions 356 to 703 of the family's 1533-position model. The record is from RNAcentral.
GAGGAAUAUUGCGCAAUGGACGAAAGUCUGACGCAGCCAUGCCGCGUGCAGGAUGACGGCGCUACGCGUUGUAAACUGCUUUUAUUUACAAAGAAACCUCGGGACGUGUCCCGAGCUGACGGUAGUAUUUGAAUAAGCACCGGCUAACUCCGUGCCAGCAGCCGCGGUAAUACGGAGGGUGCAAGCGUUAUCCGGAUUUAUUGGGUUUAAAGGGUCCGUAGGCGGAUGAUUAAGUCAGUGGUGAAAGCCCACAGCUCAACUGUGGAACUGCCAUUGAUACUGAUCAUCUUGAGUACAUUUGAAGUUGGCGGAAUAGGUCAUGUAGCGGUGAAAUGCUUAGAUAUGACCUA